This 431-nucleotide long non-coding RNA is filed under the name Lathyrus oleraceus (garden pea). Its description in RNAcentral is "Pisum sativum (pea) long non-coding RNA (PSAT_LNC005350)". Lineage: Eukaryota; Viridiplantae; Streptophyta; Magnoliopsida; Fabales; Fabaceae. The record is from RNAcentral.
GAUCAUUAAUAAAACUCAAUAUUAUUCAUCCACAUCUAUGAUGUUUUAUUUUUACUUUUGCUUUUUCUGAAAAUGGUAAUCACAAAAAACAUGAAUAAAUAAAUAUAAUUGUCCAUCUGCAUAAUAUUUGGUCACCAAAUCACUUCUCUAGAAUCAAAAUAUCAAAUCAUUAUGCAGGUUGAUUUCUAAACCCAUUGAAUACAAUGAUCUUACUCCUUCGCCAAAUUUUGAAUUCCCUGUGUUUGAAGCCGAGGAAUGAAGUGAUGAAGAAGUAUCUGAUGAAUUGUCUCGUCUACUUGAGCACGAGAAAAAAUCCAUUCAAUCGCUCGAAGAGCAGAUUGAGUUAGUCAACUUGGGUUUCGAGGAUGAUGUGAAGGAAGUCAAGAUUGGGUCUCGACUGUGUCCAGAAAUGAAGAAGGGGUUGAUUGAUC